This 486-nucleotide ribosomal RNA is filed under the name uncultured bacterium. RNAcentral describes it as "partial 16S ribosomal RNA". It matches the Rfam family "Bacterial small subunit ribosomal RNA", at positions 355 to 857 of the family's 1533-position model. The record is from RNAcentral.
UGGGGAAUAUUGCACAAUGGGCGAAAGCCUGAUGCAGCAACGCCGCGCGAGUGAUGAAGGUCUUCGGAUUGUAAAGCUCUGUCUUUUGGGACGAUAAUGACGGUACCAAAGGAGGAAGCCACGGCUAACUACGUGCCAGCAGCCGCGGUAAUACGUAGGUGGCGAGCGUUGUCCGGAUUUACUGGGCGUAAAGGGUGCGUAGGCGGAUGUUUAAGUGAGAUGUGAAAUACCCGGGCUUAACUUGGGUGCUGCAUUUCAAACUGGAUAUCUGGAGUGCAGGAGAGGAGAAUGGAAUUCCUAGUGUAGCGGUGAAAUGCGUAGAGAUUAGGAAGAACACCAGUGGCGAAGGCGAUUCUCUGGACUGUAACUGACGCUGAGGCACGAAAGCGUGAGUAGCAAACAGGAUUAGAUACCCUGGUAGUCCACGCCGUAAACGAUGAGUACUAGGUGUAGGAGGGUUUCCGCCCUUCAGUGCUGCAGCUAACG